Oreochromis niloticus (Nile tilapia) is the source of this 321-nucleotide long non-coding RNA. RefSeq lists it as uncharacterized. The record is from RefSeq and is a predicted model, not a curated record. The transcript has 2 exons. Lineage: Eukaryota; Metazoa; Chordata; Actinopteri; Cichliformes; Cichlidae.
UGAAGAGAGUGAAGUUAGGAAACUGCUUCAGUGUCUGCCUUAUAUCUCACAGCUCAGUUUUGUGACACUUUUAUCAAAACCUUCAGAAGAAAUUAGGUUCUUUGGGAAUCUGUUCUGUGCAGCAGCAGAGAGGCAAGAGCAGACAGGAGAGAAGAUACUGGAGCUGUUAUCAUCAGUGUGCAGAUAUAAAAACUUUCCUCUGAGGGAGACAUGGUGUGACUUCCUCAUAGACCUUUACUAUUAUAGGACUAAAACAGGCUUGAGUGUCCUUCCAUCAUUAAAGUCAGUUUUCCAGUCAACUCCACCAGUCUGGUUCAUAAA